AAUAUUGGACAAUGGGCGCAAGCCUGAUCCAGCCAUGCCGCGUGAGUGAUGAAGGCCCUAGGGUUGUAAAGCUCUUUCAACGGUGAAGAUAAUGACGGUAACCGUAGAAGAAGCCCCGGCUAACUUCGUGCCAGCAGCCGCGGUAAUACGGAGGGGGCUAGCGUUAUUCGGAAUUACUGGGCGUAAAGCGCACGUAGGCGGACUGGAAAGUUAGAGGUGAAAUCCCAGGGCUCAACCUUGGAACUGCCUUUAAAACUAUCAGUCUAGAGAUCGAGAGAGGUGAGUGGAAUUCCGAGUGUAGAGGUGAAAUUCGUAGAUAUUCGGAGGAACACCAGUGGCGAAGGCGGCUCACUGGCUCGAUACUGACGCUGAGGUGCGAAAGCGUGGGGAGCAAACAGG
This 399-nucleotide ribosomal RNA is filed under the name uncultured bacterium. Its description in RNAcentral is "bacterial SSU rRNA". It matches the Rfam family "Bacterial small subunit ribosomal RNA", at positions 360 to 776 of the family's 1533-position model. The record is from RNAcentral.